CCGAGCUUUACAACUCCCCAAACCCCUGUGAACAUACACUUAUGUUGCCUCGGCGGAUCAGCCCGCUCCCCGGUAAAAAAGGGACGGCCCCGCCAGCAGGAACCCCUAAACUCUGUUUUCUAUAGUGUAACUUCUGAGUAUAAAAAACAUAAAUAAAUCA
RNAcentral lists this unclassified non-coding RNA (160 nucleotides) under soil metagenome. RNAcentral describes it as "partial internal transcribed spacer 1". The record is from RNAcentral.